This 1415-nucleotide ribosomal RNA is filed under the name bacterium NLAE-zl-P730. RNAcentral's name for it is "bacterial SSU rRNA". It matches the Rfam family "Bacterial small subunit ribosomal RNA". The record is from RNAcentral.
GGCUUACCAUGCAGUCGAGGGGCAGCAUUUCAGUUUGCUUGCAAACUGGAGAUGGCGACCGGCGCACGGGUGAGUAACACGUAUCCAACCUGCCGAUAACUCGGGGAUAGCCUUUCGAAAGAAAGAUUAAUACCCGAUGGNAUAAUCAGACCGCAUGGUCUNAUUAUUAAAGAAUUUCGGUUAUCGAUGGGGAUGCGUUCCAUUAGGCAGUUGGUGAGGUAACGGCUCACCAAACCUUCGAUGGAUAGGGGUUCUGAGAGGAAGGUCCCCCACAUUGGAACUGAGACACGGUCCAAACUCCUACGGGAGGCAGCAGUGAGGAAUAUUGGUCAAUGGGCGCAGGCCUGAACCAGCCAAGUAGCGUGAAGGAUGACUGCCCUAUGGGUUGUAAACUUCUUUUAUAUGGGAAUAAAGUUUUCCACGUGUGGAAUUUUGUAUGUACCAUAUGAAUAAGGAUCGGCUAACUCCGUGCCAGCAGCCGCGGUAAUACGGAGGAUCCGAGCGUUAUCCGGAUUUAUUGGGUUUAAAGGGAGCGUAGGUGGACAGUUAAGUCAGUUGUGAAAGUUUGCGGCUCAACCGUAAAAUUGCAGUUGAUACUGGCUGUCUUGAGUACAGUAGAGGUGGGCGGAAUUCGUGGUGUAGCGGUGAAAUGCUUAGAUAUCACGAAGAACUCCGAUUGCGAAGGCAGCUCACUGGACUGCAACUGACACUGAUGCUCGAAAGUGUGGGUAUCAAACAGGAUUAGAUACCCUGGUAGUCCACACAGUAAACGAUGAAUACUCGCUGUUUGCGAUAUACAGUAAGCGGCCAAGCGAAAGCAUUAAGUAUUCCACCUGGGGGAGUACGCCGGCAACGGUGAAACUCAAAGGAAUUGACGGGGGCCCGCACAAGCGGAGGAACAUGUGGUUUAAUUCGAUGAUACGCGAGGAACCUUACCCGGGCUUAAAUUGCAUUUGAAUANUUUGGAAACAGNNUAGCCGCAAGGCAAAUGUGAAGGUGCUGCAUGGUUGUCGUCAGCUCGUGCCGUGAGGUGUCGGCUUAAGUGCCAUAACGAGCGCAACCCUUAUCUUUAGUUACUAACAGGUCAUGCUGAGGACUCUAGAGAGACUGCCGUCGUAAGAUGUGAGGAAGGUGGGGAUGACGUCAAAUCAGCACGGCCCUUACGUCCGGGGCUACACACGUGUUACAAUGGGGGGUACAGAAGGCAGCUACCUGGUGACAGGAUGCUAAUCCCAAAAGCCUCUCUCAGUUCGGAUCGAAGUCUGCAACCCGACUUCGUGAAGCUGGAUUCGCUAGUAAUCGCGCAUCAGCCAUGGCGCGGUGAAUACGUUCCCGGGCCUUGUACACACCGCCCGUCAAGCCAUGAAAGCCGGGGGUACCUGAAGUACGUAACCGCAAGGAGCUCCCUAGGAAAC